UGGGGAAUAUUGCACAAUGGGCGCAAGCCUGAUGCAGCCAUGCCGCGUGUGUGAAGAAGGCCUUCGGGUUGUAAAGCACUUUCAGCGGGGAGGAAGGCGAUAAGGUUAAUAACCUUAUCAAUUGACGUUACCGACAGAAGAAGCACCGGCUAACUCCGUGCCAGCAGCCGCGGUAAUACGGAGGGUGCAAGCGUUAAUCGGAAUUACUGGGCGUAAAGCGCACGCAGGCGGUUGAUUGAGUCAGAUGUGAAAUCCCCGGGCUUAACCCGGGAAUUGCAUCUGAGACUGGUCAGCUAGAGUCUUGUAGAGGGGGGUAGAAUUCCAUGUGUAGCGGUGAAAUGCGUAGAGAUGUGGAGGAAUACCGGUGGCGAAGGCGGCCCCCUGGACGAAGACUGACGCUCAGGUGCGAAAGCGUGGGGAGCAAACAGG
This 429-nucleotide ribosomal RNA is filed under the name Chloroflexota bacterium. RNAcentral's name for it is "Chloroflexi bacterium partial 16S ribosomal RNA". It matches the Rfam family "Bacterial small subunit ribosomal RNA", at positions 355 to 776 of the family's 1533-position model. The record is from RNAcentral. Lineage: Bacteria; Bacillati; Chloroflexota.